Molecule: ribosomal RNA, 484 nt
Filed under: uncultured bacterium
Lineage: Bacteria
Description: partial 16S ribosomal RNA
Rfam family: Bacterial small subunit ribosomal RNA
Source: RNAcentral
AUUGAACGCUGGCGGCAGGCCUAACACAUGCAAGUCGAGCGGAUGAAGGGAGCUUGCUCCUGGAUUCAGCGGCGGACGGGUGAGUAAUGCCUAGGAAUCUGCCUGGUAGUGGGAGAUAACGUCCGGAAACGGGCGCUAAUACCGCAUACGUCCUGAGGGAGAAAGUGGGGGAUCUUCGGACCUCACGCUAUCAGAUGAGCCUAGGUCGGAUUAGCUAGUUGGUGGGGUAAAGGCCUACCAAGGCGACGAUCCGUAACUGGUCUGAGAGGAUGAUCAGUUACACUGGAACUGAGACACGGUCCAGACUCCUACGGGAGGCAGCAGUGGGGAAUAUUGGACAAUGGGCGAAAGCCUGAUCCAGCCAUGCCGCGUGUGUGAAGAAGGUCUUCGGAUUGUAAAGCACUUUAAGUUGGGAGGAAGGGCAGUAAGUUAAUACCUUGCUGUUUUGACGUUACCAACAGAAUAAGCACCGGCUAACUUCGUG